UACGGAGGGUGCAAGCGUUAUCCGGAUUCACUGGGUUUAAAGGGUGCGUAGGCGGGCCGGUAAGUCAGUGGUGAAAUCCUGGGGCUUAACCCCAGAACUGCCGUUGAUACUAUCAGUCUUGAAUGUUGUGGAGGUGAGCGGAAUAUGUCAUGUAGCGGUGAAAUGCUUAGAGAUGACAUAGAACACCAAUUGCGAAGGCAGCUCACUACGCAACGAUUGACGCUGAGGCACGAAAGCGUGGGGAUCAAACAGG
This 253-nucleotide ribosomal RNA is filed under the name uncultured bacterium. Its description in RNAcentral is "partial 16S ribosomal RNA". It matches the Rfam family "Bacterial small subunit ribosomal RNA", at positions 524 to 776 of the family's 1533-position model. The record is from RNAcentral.